This 501-nucleotide ribosomal RNA is filed under the name uncultured bacterium. RNAcentral describes it as "partial 16S ribosomal RNA". It matches the Rfam family "Bacterial small subunit ribosomal RNA", at positions 30 to 523 of the family's 1533-position model. The record is from RNAcentral.
AUUGAACGCUGGCGGCAGGCUUAACACAUGCAAGUCGAGCGGAGAUGAGGUGCUUGCACCUUAUCUUAGCGGCGGACGGGUGAGUAAUGCUUAGGAAUCUGCCUAUUAGUGGGGGACAACAUUCCGAAAGGAAUGCUAAUACCGCAUACGUCCUACGAGAGAAAGCAGGGGAUCUUCGGACAUUGCGCUAAUAGAUGAGCCUAAGUCGGAUUAGCUAGUGGGUGGGGUAAAGGCCUACCAAGGCGACGAUCUGUAGCGGGUCUGAGAGGAUGAUCCGCCACACUGGGACUGAGACACGGCCCAGACUCCUACGGGAGGCAGCAGUGGGGAAUAUUGGACAAUGGGGGGAACCCUGAUCCAGCCAUGCCGCGUGUGUGAAGAAGGCCUUAUGGUUGUAAAGCACUUUAAGCGAGGAGGAGGCUACUGAGACUAAUACUCUUGGAUAGUGGACGUUACUCGCAGAAUAAGCACCGGCUAACUCUGUGCCAGCCGCCGCGGUAA